GAUUAACGCUGGCGGCGUGCCUAACACAUGCAAGUCGAACGAGGUAGCAAUACCUAGUGGCAGACGGGUGAGUAACGCGUGGUCAACCUACCGUUGAGUGGGGGAUAACUAGCCGAAGGGUUAGCUAAUACCGCAUACGUCUCCGAGUGGCAUCACUUGGCGAUAAAAGGAGCAAUCCGCUCGAUGACGGGACCGCGUCCCAUUAGCUAGAUGGUGGGGUAACGGCCUACCAUGGCACCGAUGGGUAGCUGGUUUGAGAGAGCGACCAGCCACACUGGGACUGAGAAACGGCCCAGACUCCUACGGGAGGCAGCAGUGAGGAAUUUUCCGCAAUGGGCGCAAGCCUGACGGAGCGACGCCGCGUGUGGGAAGAAGGCCUUC
Molecule: ribosomal RNA, 381 nt
Filed under: uncultured bacterium
Lineage: Bacteria
Description: bacterial SSU rRNA
Rfam family: Bacterial small subunit ribosomal RNA
Source: RNAcentral